GGUUAAGCGACUAAGCGUACACGGUGGAUGCCCUGGCAGUCAGAGGCGAUGAAGGGCGUGCUAAUCUGCGAUAAGCGCCGGUAAGGUGAUAUGAACCGUUAUAACCGGCGAUACCCGAAUGGGGAAACCCAGUGUGAUUCGUCACACUAUCAUUAACUGAAUCCAUAGGUUAAUGAGGCGAACCGGGGGAACUGAAACAUCUAAGUACCCCGAGGAAAAGAAAUCAACCGAGAUUCCCCCAGUAGCGGCGAGCGAACGGGGAGGAGCCCAGAGCCUGAAUCAGCAUGUGUGUUAGUGGAAGCGUCUGGAAAGGCGCGCGAUACAGGGUGACAGCCCCGUACACAAAAGCGCAUGUGCUGUGAGCUCGAUGAGUAGGGCGGGACACGUGGUAUCCUGUCUGAAUAUGGGGGGACCAUCCUCCAAGGCUAAAUACUCCUGACUGACCGAUAGUGAACCAGUACCGUGAGGGAAAGGCGAAAAGAACCCCGGCGAGGGGAGUGAAAAAGAACCUGAAACCGUGUACGUACAAGCAGUGGGAGCACCCUUUGGGUGUGACUGCGUACCUUUUGUAUAAUGGGUCAGCGACUUAUAUUCUGUAGCAAGGUUAACCGAAUAGGGGAGCCGGAGGGAAACCGAGUCUUAACCGGGCGUUAAGUUGCAGGGUAUAGACCCGAAACCCGGUGAUCUAGCCAUGGGCAGGUUGAAGGUUGGGUAACACUAACUGGAGGACCGAACCGACUAAUGUUGAAAAAUUAGCGGAUGACCUGUGGCUGGGGGUGAAAGGCCAAUCAAACCGGGAGAUAGCUGGUUCUCCCCGAAAGCUAUUUAGGUAGCGCCUCGUGAAUUCAUCUCCGGGGGUAGAGCACUGUUUCGGCUAGGGGGCCAUCCCGGCUUACCAACCCGAUGCAAACUGCGAAUACCGGAGAAUGUUAUCACGGGAGACACACGGCGGGUGCUAACGUCCGUCGUGAAGAGGGAAACAACCCAGACCGCCAGCUAAGGUCCCAAAGUCAUGGUUAAGUGGGAAACGAUGUGGGAAGGCCCAGACAGCCAGGAUGUUGGCUUAGAAGCAGCCAUCAUUUAAAGAAAGCGUAAUAGCUCACUGGUCGAGUCGGCCUGCGCGGAAGAUGUAACGGGGCUAAACCAUG
Molecule: ribosomal RNA, 1148 nt
Filed under: Salmonella enterica
Lineage: Bacteria; Pseudomonadati; Pseudomonadota; Gammaproteobacteria; Enterobacterales; Enterobacteriaceae
Also listed under: 2 other names
Description: partial 23S ribosomal RNA
Rfam family: Bacterial large subunit ribosomal RNA
Source: RNAcentral